Mus musculus (house mouse) is the source of this 1340-nucleotide RNA transcript. It is a transcript of the gene named thymocyte nuclear protein 1, with no coding region annotated. The transcript has 7 exons. Lineage: Eukaryota; Metazoa; Chordata; Mammalia; Rodentia; Muridae. The record is from RefSeq and is marked validated.
UCGUGGGGGCGGCGCCUCUGAGACGCGUCUUCUACUAAGCCUGUCCGGGCACGCCAGUCGCCUCAAGGCUCCCAGAAGAUUAGCCUGGCAGUGCUUCAAGGCGUUUGGGUGGUUUUAGAAGACAAGAGCUGUUUCUUACCCGUCCGGUUAGCUUCAGCCUCCUACAGAGAGGCCAUGCCGAGACCCCGCAAGAGGCAGACUGGGACUGCUGGUCCAGACAGGAAGAAGCUAUCCGGGAAACGUACUAAAACUGAAAACUCAGAAAGUACAUCAGUCAAGCUAGAGAACUCCAGCCUUGAGAUGACGACAACCUUUAAAAAUGGUGGCAAGAAUUUAAGCAACUACUGGCUGAUGAAGUCAGAGCCAGAAAGCCGGCUAGAGAAAGGUAUAGACAUGAAGUUCAGCAUCGAGGAUCUCAAAGCACAGCCCAAGCAGACAGCUUGCUGGGAUGGUGUUCGCAACUAUCAGGCUCGGAACUUCCUCAGGGCCAUGAAAUUGGAGGAUGAAGCCUUCUUCUACCAUAGCAACUGCAAACAGCCUGGCAUUGUUGGACUUAUGAAGAUUGUAAAGGAGGCUUACCCAGACCACACACAGUUUGAGAAAAGUAAUCCCCAUUACGAUCCAUCCAGCAAAGAGGACGACCCUAAAUGGUCGAUGGUAAGAACUGUUCUUGUUUCAUAGGGCAGAGUGGACAAAAGGGGGAAAAGAAUGUGGGGUACUGUUAGGUCAGGGAGCACAGCCCAGCUCUCAGCUAGAUGAAGUUUUACUGAAUUGGGAUAUCAGAAUAUUGGCAGCCCUAAUACCAGGCACCUCCUGCAAAUAGCAAAAACUCUGGGUGUGCACAGAAGCAAGGCUGUACAUGCGCUUAGCUACUCGGUGGGCUGAGGCCUGAAAAUUGAUUCAGCAACAGGAAUUUAAGGACACACUAGGCAACACAGUGGACCCAUCCCUUAAAAUUGGGCAGGGUCUGGCCGAACGUGUUUCUGUUCCCUUCAAAUGCUGUCGAAUAGGUGGAUGUACAGUUUGUUCGAAUGAUGAAGCGCUUCAUCCCUCUGGAGGAGCUUAAAACCUAUCACCAAGCCCACAAAGCUACUGGCGGCCCCUUAAAAAGCAUGACUCUCUUCACCCGCCAGAGACUUUCCGUUCAGCCUCUGACUCAAGAAGAGUUUGAUUUUAUUUUGAGCCUGGAGGAAACAGAACCAAGUUAAUCAGAAGGCUCUACUGAUGGAGUGAACAAGCCAAGAUUUUAUAAGACAGAAGGAGAAAGCUUGCUGUAUCCACCUGGGGUCGUGUGCACGGAUGGUUUGUUAAUUUUCCUAAUAAAAGAUUUAAUGACAAGG